This 397-nucleotide ribosomal RNA is filed under the name uncultured bacterium. RNAcentral describes it as "partial 16S ribosomal RNA". It matches the Rfam family "Bacterial small subunit ribosomal RNA", at positions 523 to 918 of the family's 1533-position model. The record is from RNAcentral.
AUACGUAGGGGGCGAGCGUUGUCCGGAAUGAUUGGGCGUAAAGGGCGCGUAGGCGGCUUUGCAAGUCAGUAGUGGAAGUCCAUUUUUCAAGGAUGGAAGUGCUACAGAAACUGCGGAGCUUGAGUGCAGGAGAGGUUAUCGGAAUUCCCGGUGUAGCGGUGACAUGCGUAGAUAUCAGGAGGAACACCGGUGGCGAAGGCGGCUCGCUGGGCUUUUACUGACGCUGAGGCUCGAAAGCGUGGGUAGCAAACAGGAUUAGAUACCCUGGUAGUCCACGCUGUAAACGAUGAUUGCUAGGUGUAGGAGGUAUCGACCCCUUCUGUGCCGCAGUAAACACAGUAAGCAUUCCGCCUGGGGAGUACGGUCGCAAGAUUAAAACUCAAAGGAAUUGACGGGG